This is a long non-coding RNA of Alnus glutinosa, 499 nucleotides long. RefSeq lists it as uncharacterized. The transcript has 3 exons. The record is from RefSeq and is a predicted model, not a curated record. Lineage: Eukaryota; Viridiplantae; Streptophyta; Magnoliopsida; Fagales; Betulaceae.
CCAAAUUGAAUCUUGUGUGUUUCAACCUUUCUCGCAUCUCUUUAGCCACCUAAUUACUAAUUGCCUAGAGAUCUUCAACUUCCUCCCUUCAUCUAACAAAAAUUGUUGCUACAAUUCUCAACACUUUAUCGCAGGCUUUUAUAGCAUACUUUUAGGGACAACGUUCCACCAUUAUAUAUUAUCAAUUAACCACACAUCCACCUAUUGAGGCCAUCAUUGAUAUCGAUUCGAAUAAUUGAGUUUUGUAUAUGGGUUUGACGUGAAAGCAAAAGCGAAGAGCGAAUCGGAGAAAAAUUUGGUGCAAAAAUGAAUCUCUCUUGAGUGACUAAGUUAGGGUGGGCAAUCAAGGAAGCAAGGAAAACUUUACAUGGGUUAAGGAAUUUUUUGUAGACUAGCCGGGGUGUGAGUCCCCCUCUCAACCCCUGCUAGCUCCGCCCCUGAGCAUGUAAAUUACUUAAUGAAAUGAGAUGAAUCGUAGAGUCAAAGUUCGAGCAUAUAA